CCCCGCGCGCCAGGCCCCUGCGCUCACCAGCACCGCCUGCUCCAGCCGCUCGCAGCCCUGCACGUAAGCCGAUUCCAGGUCCACGCAGUGCGCCCGGCUCUCCCUGUAGAAGGCGGCGGGUGAGGCCCGCUCCAGCCGCCCCCAGCCCCCUCCCCUCGCGCCCCCUCUACGCACCCCUGCAUGUCGCGGAAGCAGCGGAUGCACAACAGCAACUUCUUGUCGGUGGAGAACAACAGGCACUUGGCGCUCUGAUAUACCCACUUUACAGAGGAGGGCACUGCGGCUCAGAGGCUGGGUCAUCGCCGCCUUAUUUCCUCGGCGGCCAAUUGGGGGCGCCAGAGAGCAGCGGGCGCCCCUCCACCGACUUUCCAGCGCUUGGGAGGCGGAGUGAGACGCCGUGGAAUCCCAGCUCUGCCUUUCGCUGGUUGUGAGCUCUUGGCCAUGUUACUGACCUCUCAGAGCCUCAGCGCUGGGUUAAAAUAGAACUGGUGUCCUGAUAAUCGAUGCGUGUUGAUCCCAGCGUUUUCUCCAGCGUGCUCUCGCUUCCCAGGUCGACGUGAUCAGUGAGCUUUCUCCGCCCGUGUCAUCCUGAAUGUCCUGAGAGCAGCCCGUUUCUGCCCCUCUUGCGAUUACAAAGUCAAGCCCAGAGCCUGACCCACAGUAGUGCUCAAUAAAGGCUUAGAAAAAACUCGGAGAUAUUUGAGCUGUUUUCGUUUUGUUUUGUUUAAGACAGGAUCUCACUCUGUCGCCGCGUGAUCAUA
Molecule: long non-coding RNA, 761 nt
Organism: Pongo pygmaeus (Bornean orangutan)
Lineage: Eukaryota; Metazoa; Chordata; Mammalia; Primates; Hominidae
Exons: 4
Source: RefSeq, a predicted model, not a curated record